UGACUUAAUUAAAAAUGAAUUUUGCUUAAGUAAUAAUAUUAAAUUGAUAAGAAUACCUUAUAAAAGAGCAAAUUCGAAAAAAACGAAGUUGUAUAUAUAUAAUAUUUUAUUUAAUAAGUUAAUCCCGAGCCAAGCCUAAUAGAAAUAUUAGGAAGGUGUAACGACUAGAGUGAUUAGACUAAGUAUAAGCACAGUAUCUACUGUGUUUUUUAUAUGUCAAAAACUCCACGAGCGCAUAGCAACGUAACAUUAAGUUGACGUUGAAGAUAUAGUCUGAACUUAUAAGAAAUUAUAAG
This 296-nucleotide non-coding RNA is filed under the name Anaerococcus tetradius ATCC 35098. The record is from RNAcentral. Lineage: Bacteria; Bacillati; Bacillota; Tissierellia; Tissierellales; Peptoniphilaceae.